GACAGAGGUGGCGAGCGUUGUUCGGAUUUAUUGGGUGUAAAGGGCAGGUAGGUGGCUACGUAAGUCUGAUGUGAAAUCCCACGGCUCAACCGUGGAACGGCAUUGGAAACUGUGUGGCUUGAGUACCGGAGAGGUGAGGGGAAUUCUCGGUGUAAGGGUGAAAUCUGUAGAUAUCGAGAGGAACACCAGUGGCGAAAGCGCCUCACUGGACGGUAACUGACACUGAGCUGCGAAAGCUAGGGGAGCAAACAGG
RNAcentral lists this ribosomal RNA (253 nucleotides) under uncultured bacterium. Its description in RNAcentral is "partial 16S ribosomal RNA". It matches the Rfam family "Bacterial small subunit ribosomal RNA", at positions 524 to 776 of the family's 1533-position model. The record is from RNAcentral.